UUCUGUGAGCGAGGAAGGGGGGAUCGCAAGACCUCUUGCUUUAGGAGCGGCCGAUGUCGGAUUAGCUAGUUGGUGAGGUAAAGGCUCACCAAGGCGACGAUCCGUAGCGGGUCUGAGAGGAUGAUCCGCCACACUGGGACUGAGACACGGCCCAGACUCCUACGGGAGGCAGCAGUGGGGAAUUUUGGACAAUGGGCGCAAGCCUGAUCCAGCCAUGCCGCGUGAGUGAAGAAGGCCUUCGGGUUGUAAAGCUCUUUCGGUGGGGAAGAAAUUGCUUCGGUUAAUACCUGGAGUAGAUGACGGUACCCGCAUAAGAAGCACCGGCUAACUACGUG
This 335-nucleotide ribosomal RNA is filed under the name uncultured bacterium. RNAcentral's name for it is "bacterial SSU rRNA". It matches the Rfam family "Bacterial small subunit ribosomal RNA", at positions 189 to 507 of the family's 1533-position model. The record is from RNAcentral.